This 267-nucleotide ribosomal RNA is filed under the name uncultured bacterium. Its description in RNAcentral is "partial 16S ribosomal RNA". It matches the Rfam family "Bacterial small subunit ribosomal RNA", at positions 793 to 1055 of the family's 1533-position model. The record is from RNAcentral.
GUCCUGGCUUAACGAUGGAUGCUUGGUGUCUGGAGUUAUAUAGUCUCCGGGUGCCGCAGCUAACGCGUUAAGCAUCCCGCCUGGGGAGUACGGUCGCAAGACUGAAACUCAAAGGAAUUGACGGGGACCCGCACAAGCGGUGGAGCAUGUGGUUCAAUUCGACGCAACGCGAAGAACCUUACCUGGGCUAGAAUGCCUCUGACAACUCCAGAGAUGGAGCCUCUUAGGGAAACCUAGGCAGAGUGCAAGGUGCUGCAUGGCUGUCGU